Molecule: ribosomal RNA, 406 nt
Filed under: uncultured bacterium
Lineage: Bacteria
Description: partial 16S ribosomal RNA
Rfam family: Bacterial small subunit ribosomal RNA
Source: RNAcentral
AUUGAACGCUGGCGGCAGGCCUAACACAUGCAAGUCGAACGAGUGGCGGACGGGUGAGUAAUGUAUGGGACACUGCCCGAUAGAGGGGGAUAACUACUGGAAACGGUAGCUAAUACCGCAUACCAUCAGAUGUACCCAUAUGGGAUUAGCUAGUAGGUGGGGUAACGGCUCACCUAGGCGACGAUCCCUAGCUGGUCUGAGAGGAUGACCAGCCACACUGGAACUGAGACACGGCCCAGACUCCUACGUGAGGCAGCAGUGGGGAAUAUUGCACAAUGGGCGCAAGCCUGAUGCAGCCAUGCCGCGUGUAUGAAGAAGGCCUUCGGGUUGUAAAGUACUUUCAGCGGGGAGGCGUUACCCGCAGAAGAAGCACCGGCUAACUCCGUGCCAGCAGCCGCUGUAAUAC